CUCGUAGUUGGAUUUCUGGCAGGAGCGACCGGUCACACACUCUGUGUGUGAACUUGUGUUGUCUCUGGCCAUCCUUGGGGAGAUCCUGUUUGGCAUUAAGUUGUCGGGCAGGGGAUACCCAUCGUUUACUGUGAAAAAAUUAGAGUGUUUAAAGCAGGCUUAUGCCGUUGAAUAUAUUAGCAUGGAAUAAUAAGAUAGGACUUCGGAACUAUUUUGUUGGUUUGCGUUACGAAGUAAUGAUUAAUAGGGACAGUUGGGGGUAUUCGUAUUUCGUUGUCAGAGGUGAAAUUCUUGGAUUUCCGAAAGACGAACUACUGCGAAAGCAUUUACCAAGGAUGUUUUCAUUAAUCAAGAACGAAAGUUAGGGGAUCGAAGAUGAUUAGAUACCAUCGUAGUCUUAACCAUAAACUAUGCCGACUCGGGAUUGGUGGUUGUUUUUUGACUCCAUCAGCACCGUAUGAGAAAUCAAAGUCUUUGGGUUCCGGGGGGAGUAUGG
RNAcentral lists this ribosomal RNA (496 nucleotides) under Minidiscus sp. RCC4614. Its description in RNAcentral is "SSU rRNA". It matches the Rfam family "Eukaryotic small subunit ribosomal RNA", at positions 627 to 1128 of the family's 1831-position model. Lineage: Eukaryota; Bacillariophyta; Thalassiosirophyceae; Thalassiosirales; Thalassiosiraceae. The record is from RNAcentral.